This 232-nucleotide ribosomal RNA is filed under the name uncultured bacterium. Its description in RNAcentral is "partial 16S ribosomal RNA". It matches the Rfam family "Bacterial small subunit ribosomal RNA", at positions 99 to 334 of the family's 1533-position model. The record is from RNAcentral.
CGGACGGGUGAGUAAUGUAUGGGGAUCUGCCCGAUGGAGGGGGAUAACUACUGGAAACGGUAGCUAAUACCGCAUAACGUCGCAAGACCAAAGAGGGGGACCUUAGGGCCUCUUGCCAUCGGAUGUGCCCAGAUGGGAUUAGCUAGUAGGUGGGGUAAUGGCUCACCUAGGCGACGAUCCCUAGCUGGUCUGAGAGGAUGACCAGCCACACUGGAACUGAGACACGGUCCAG